AGCGAACGCUGGCGGCAGGCCUAACACAUGCAAGUCGAACGAACCUUUCGGGGUUAGUGGCGGACGGGUGAGUAACACGUGUGAACGUGCCUUUAGGUUCGGAAUAACUCAGGGAAACUUGUGCUAAUACCGAAUGUGCCCUUCGGGGGAAAGAUUAAUCGCCUUUAGAGCGGCCCGCGUCUGAUUAGCUAGUUGGUUGAGGUAAUGGCUCACCAAGGCGACGAUCAGUAGCUGGUCUGAGAGGAUGAUCAGCCACAUUGGGACUGAGACACGGCCCAAACUCCUACGGGAGGCAGCAGUGGGGAAUCUUGCGCAAUGGGCGAAAGCCUGACGCAGCCAUGCCGCGUGAAUGAUGAAGGUCUUAGGAUUGUAAAAUUCUUUCACCGGGGACGAUAAUGACGGUACCCGGAGAAGAAGCCCCGGCUAACUUCGUG
RNAcentral lists this ribosomal RNA (434 nucleotides) under uncultured bacterium. Its description in RNAcentral is "partial 16S ribosomal RNA". It matches the Rfam family "Bacterial small subunit ribosomal RNA", at positions 29 to 507 of the family's 1533-position model. The record is from RNAcentral.